CCGGCACGGGUGAGUAACACGUAUCCAACCUGCCGUCUACUCUUGGACAGCCUUCUGAAGGAAGAUUAAUACAAGAUGGCAUCAUGAGUCCGCAUGUUCACAUGAUUAAAGGUAUUCCGGUAGACGAUGGGGAGGCGUUCCAUUAGAUAGUAGGCGGGGUAACGGCCCACCUAGUCUUCGAUGGAUAGGGGUUCUGAGAGGAAGGUCCCCCACAUUGGAACUGAGACACGGUCCAA
This 236-nucleotide ribosomal RNA is filed under the name uncultured bacterium. RNAcentral describes it as "partial 16S ribosomal RNA". It matches the Rfam family "Bacterial small subunit ribosomal RNA", at positions 100 to 334 of the family's 1533-position model. The record is from RNAcentral.